Molecule: long non-coding RNA, 509 nt
Organism: Hippocampus comes (tiger tail seahorse)
Lineage: Eukaryota; Metazoa; Chordata; Actinopteri; Syngnathiformes; Syngnathidae
Exons: 3
Source: RefSeq, a predicted model, not a curated record
CUCAGAUCCAAGUGCUCGACAUGGAAGAAAGAGGCUAAAGUCUGACAUCCUUUCAGCAUCUGGUAUGGGAAAACGUGUUGAUCCUGCAGCAACUCUACUAGCAGCUGGGUUCCGGUUAUUAUAGAUGUAUUCUCCUUGUCAGACCCCAAAAGGGGGACACUACUGAGUAGUCCAUUUUCCACAGCUGAUGGUGAAGAAACCAUUGAUGACCUUGUCAUCCAAGAAUCAUCCAUUUUGCUCUAAGACAAGGUUAAUCAGCAAUCAAUUUCAGUUCUUAAAAAUCACUUAAUUCACUUAUAGAUGAGUAUCGAUGUCUGUAAUAAGUUUGCAUCUUACUUUUACUGUGAUGACUCUCAACAAAAAGAAUUGCUUCUGUUUAUUUCCAUGACAUAAUGGACAGUGUGUACCGGUCUGUUACACAAAUGUGCUGUUCAGUAAAUUAAAACGUUUGGGGAUGAUGGUAUUCUAUGUUUCUCAUGAAUUUAGCAGACUUUUUUUCCUGUAAUAUA